GAAAAAAUAUGUAUGAAUCAUUGAAAUAUGUAUAAGAAUUAUGGAGAAACACGUGAUUCCGAGAUCAAAUGUUGUGGCUGAGCCUGAGAUCAUUCUUGAUUUCUAGCUUUUAUUAAAAAAAAAAAAAUGAAAGGCUCCAGCUUUAUAAUAUCUAUAGCGUCCAAAAAGGACAGAAUUGCAAAAUAAUAUUUAGGGUGAAUAGGUAGUAUUUGAAAAUAAAAU
Molecule: unclassified non-coding RNA, 222 nt
Filed under: Hevea brasiliensis (rubber tree)
Lineage: Eukaryota; Viridiplantae; Streptophyta; Magnoliopsida; Malpighiales; Euphorbiaceae
Source: RNAcentral